Lepidothrix coronata (blue-crowned manakin) is the source of this 1513-nucleotide long non-coding RNA. RefSeq lists it as uncharacterized. NCBI's taxonomy places the organism in Eukaryota, Metazoa, Chordata, Aves, Passeriformes, Pipridae. The record is from RefSeq and is a predicted model, not a curated record. The transcript is spliced from 3 exons.
UAUACAAUCUAAAUACACCUUCUUUCAGUUUAAAUCCAUUCCUCUUUGUCUUACCCCUCCGUGCUCUUGUCAGAAGUCCCUCCCCAGAUCUCCCGUAGCCUCUUCCAAACGAAAUAAUUCUGUGAUCUAUGAAAUUAUAUCCAGUUACACUAAAUUCUGCAGGAUGGUGUCACUCCUUGUCUUUUUAUCUACUGAUUUCUUUGUGAACAUUUAUCUUAUUUCAGGAAGAGGCAAAGGAGAGCCCAAGAUGUUAAAUCCAAGCCCUGCCAGAAGAAGGCAACCUUAGACUUUGAGACCCUGACUCGAGUAAAGAUGGCAAGACUGGGAUUUUGUCUCUCUCGUAAGACCUUGAAUACAAAGGACUCGUGACAAACGGGAAGGGAACGUGCCCACACCCACGGUGCUGCGGGAGCCCCUCUUUCCAAGGGGGCUCAAGGAAAAGGCAACAGCUGCUCUCCACUUCUCAUGGUCCACAACAGCAAUUAGUGAGGGAGAGUCUGGCCAAUGAUUCAUGUCUGAGGACAUAAGGAAGUCUUGGGGACUGGCAAGGGGGGAAGCCUGUGCAGUGACUCAUGCCUGAGGGUAUAUGUGUCUGGACUAAGUCUUGGCAACCUCCCCAGGAUGAGAUUUUCCUGACAUUUUCCCUCAGGUAAACACAUGGUCCUUGAAGGAUUGUCUCUGCUCAUUGCAGGGGCGUUGGAGUAGAUGACCUUUAAAAGGUCCCCUCCAACUCAAACUAUGAUUCUUUGGCUCCCUGGCCCUGUUUAACAUCUCUGUUGGAGUCUUCAAAGUGGUGGCCUCUUGCACACAAAAAGGAAACACAAGUUAAUCAAGACCCAAGACUCAUCACAAACACUAAGGGAAUGUGAGCAGUGGCUGUAGGUAAGUAUUUUACAGCCUGGUAUAAUAUAUAUCUAUUAUCUGUAGCAUCCAAUAGCAUAGCCAGCAAUUAGCAUAUUAUGAAGUAGUUGAGGAAAAAACAUACAUGGAGUAAGUAGCACAAGGAGGAAGACAACUGCAGGUGUGAAAUACAGGGGUCAAGUGGAAAUAAAGUGUGAAGGAGAGAAAAAAAACCACAUGUAUAGUAGGCAGAGAAGACAACUGGUGAAGCCAAAGUAACCCCACAGGGUAAGAGGGAAUAUGCUGGGAAAACCCCACAAAACAAAACAACUCAGUGAAGAGGAGGUGAGUUGUCCCCUGUCCUUUCACAGGCAGAAGGAAAAGAAGAGAAUACCAAUAAAUACUAAGGAAGAAGAAAUCCUACUUCAGCUCUGGCUUUCAACACCAAAAAAAGUGAAGAAGCUCUUCCCCCCCACCUCCAAAGGUGCCCAAACCCCAACCCCACACCACAUUCACUGCCCCCCUCGUACCAGCACUCCCCUGUUUGAGACUCGUGGCUAAUUUAGGCCAAAUUUAUUAAAGACUCAUCAUUUACCUGUGUAUGGAUGAUGAUUAAAGCCUAACCCUGGGGGGUGAUGUGUGCUGUUGAUGACUGUCAGUCCAGUAAAGCCUG